This 1829-nucleotide long non-coding RNA is filed under the name Solanum tuberosum (potato). RNAcentral describes it as "long non-coding RNA (STUB_LNC003012)". The record is from RNAcentral. Lineage: Eukaryota; Viridiplantae; Streptophyta; Magnoliopsida; Solanales; Solanaceae.
AAAGCUUUGAACGGCUGCGGCGGCAGUUACAGGGAAAUCAAAGCCCCUUCCUUGAAGACAAUUUUCUCCAUAACAAGGUUUUUUGGUAUCAAGAGGUAAGUUAAAUCUCCAAAACUAAUUUGUGCUUGCUAUAUUGAUGUUUUAUUAAUAUGAUUUGCAAAUUUAUCUGUUGUGAUUUUGUCAAUUCAAUCAUUCUUUACAAAUAUGUAAGCAGCAAGGAAUAGAACACUUCAAUUUAAAACUACCCCCAAUCUUAGGAGUUGGUAUAGUGUGUAAACAAUCAAUUAGAAAAAAAAUAAUCUGGUCGCUAUUGACGUUUUGGUACUAGAAUCAAACUUUUAGGGACUAUUUUUCGUUGUUAAUGCCUGGUUCUUUUGUAGUAAAACCAAAAAUCUAGCUUAUGAGCAGAAGAUUGUCCAAGACCAUAAAAUGAGAGAAACAACCCAUCUAUGUACCAGUUACUUAGGCUUUGUCAAUUGGAGCGUGAACAAUAUACCGUGAGGGUCCAUCAUUAUGAUACACUAUAAUAGGGAGGGAUGGAUCUUGCUCUGAUAGCAUGUUAAGAAAUGGACCUUGGACCUAACUCAACUCCAAAGCUAGCUCAUGACGGGGAUUGUCCAAGACCAUAUAAUGAAAUAGAUAAACAAUCUAUCCAUCUAACUAGGAAGGAGAAGACACUGAGAUAACAAAUCAGUGAGGAGGGCUUUGUCCGAGUUGGAGCUCCAUGUCAGCAACAAUAUAAAUUUUUAAAGCUGGUUUUAUCCGAGGUGGAUCUCCGUUAGUGGGGAGGGGCUUAAGUGCUACACUUGGCUAACGGCAAGGGCAAUUUUGGUCCAAAAACAAAAUGGACAACAAAAUUGUGUUAUUUCAGUAGUUCAGAGAUAUUUUUUACCCUUUUCCCAAUACUCAAUGAUUAUAAUAGAUAGAAGGCCCUGAUGAGGCGUAAAAACUAAUUGUCCAAAAAAAAAAACUAAUGAGGUUAAGAGACAUUGUUAUCAGAGAUAAGUUUCUAUAUACCUUGAUAAAUGAAAGACUUGAACGUGUGAUUUUAAAUAGAAAUCAUGAUAUACGAAGUAUUGAUUACAAAGUGAAAUGCAAAAAGAAAAUAACGAUAGUGAUAUUCUGAAAGAUAACGGAACCACUCUGACAUACAAUUUAUUUCAUUUGAGAGAAAUAGGAUUUGCCUAUGAAUUUGUGAUGGUUGACACACCAAAUUUAAAGUUUGAUCCUCUUAGCUUUUCUUUUGUGAUAUGAUCCAUUCUUUCUAUCAUGUUAUCUGUUAGAUGAUUCUUCCAAUCUCCAGGCUUACCCUUCCUGAAAUAGGCGCUGUUAUCUAUCUGCAAAGAGGAUAUUGGCCGAUCCUGCCCAUUCUUAAUCACCUCCAAAUUGCUCAAGUUGUCAAAACUACAUAAUUUGAAAAUCCUUUCUGGUAACCCUUCUCCCUCUUCGUCCCUUGAAAAUGGUUUUCCCAUGAACUCAGCCAAUUUUCUCACGUAGAACAAUGUGUCUUUUGUUAAUUCUUCAUAUUUGAGAAACAAUAGUGAUUCUGGCUUGUCUAAACUUUGUUUCCAGUACCCCAAAACAUGAUCCCAGUACGGUCCCCACAUUGUUUUCCCUUCACAGAACAACUCGAACCCUUCCUCAAAGGAAAUUAACAAUUCUGUUGUUUCAUCCAACUCUCCUUGCUGCAGCCAUGUAAAUCUUUGCAUGAAAUGCCAAAGAGAAAUGAAAGUGUCCUUGGGUUCCCUGCACAAGUAAAUCAUCUUUGUACUGUCCAGGGACUGGACAGAUUUGGGUAAAGCAUCAAAUGGUAUAUGUGUGGCUAUAAG